RNAcentral lists this ribosomal RNA (542 nucleotides) under uncultured bacterium. Its description in RNAcentral is "bacterial SSU rRNA". It matches the Rfam family "Bacterial small subunit ribosomal RNA", at positions 777 to 1319 of the family's 1533-position model. The record is from RNAcentral.
AAUAGAUACCCGGGUAGUCCAUGCCGUAAACGUUGGGCACUAGGUGUGGGACCCCCUCAACGGGUUCCGUGCCGUAGCUAACGCAUUAAGUGCCCCGCCUGGGGAAUACGGCCGCAAGGCUAAAACUCAAAGGAAUUGGCGGGGGCCCGCACAAGCAGCGGAGCAUGUUGCUUAAUUCGAGGCAACGCGAAGAACCUUACCUGGGUUUGACAUGUACGGAAAAGCCACAGAGAUGUGGUGUCCUUUUGGGCCGUACACAGGUGGUGCAUGGUUGUCGUCAGCUCGUGUCGUGAGAUGUUGGGUUAAGUCCCGCAACGAGCGCAACCCUUGUCCUAUGUUGCCAGCGGGUAAUGCCGGGGACUCGUAGGAGACUGCCGGGGACAACUCGGAGGAAGGUGGGGAUGACGUCAAAUCAUCAUGCCCCUUAUGCCCAGGGCUGCAAACAUGCUACAAUGGCCAGUACAAAGGGCUGCUAUACCGCGAGGUUGAGCGAAUCCCACAAAGCUGGUCUCAGUUCGGAUUGGAGUCUGCAACUCGACUCC